AUAAUGAUGGUGAGAAAGGGUGAGAUGCUCUUGUGAUUUCAAGGUUGUGGGGUAGAAUUGUUACAAGUUAGAAAGAGUCAGAUGGCCUAGGUCAAACUUCACUCUACUACUUCCUAGCUAAAUGACUUUGAACCAGAACUUCAUAAGCUUUGGUUUGUACCAGAAAGUUGAAAUAAUACUGUUAUCUACCCCCUUAUAUUACCUUUGAUGUAUUCAUGGAAGGACCCCUAGAAUGGAUCUAGCAUAUAUUAAAUUCUCAAUAAAUUAUAGUUUUAUUAUGCCUCCUUUCUCAACAAAUCUGAGAACAAAUCUGGAAAGGCAAGGUGACUGUCCCAAGAAGUAGAUCAGAUUCAGUCAUGGAAACAACCACUAGGUGUGGAAACUCAAAGUGCUUGCUGGUGUAGGUCAAAUGUGACUUCUGAAUGACAUGUGAGAAUGUAGACAAUUUUUUUCUUUUUUUUUAAUAUUUAUUUAUUUAUUCAUGAUAGACAGAGAGAGAGAGAGAGAGAGAGAGAGGCAGAGACACAGGAGGAGGGAGAAGCAGGCUCCAUGCCGGGAGCCCGACGUGAGACUCGAUCCUGGGACUCCAGGAUCGCGCCCUGGGCCAAAGGCAGGUGCUAAACCGCUGAGCCACCCAGGGAUCCCUGACAAUUUCUUUAUGGACUGGAAGUUACUCUUCUGAGAACUCUGUGCUGUUUUUAUUUUAGGAAAAUGGAUGCCAAAACCUGGAUUUCAUUACCUGCUUUGAAGUCAUUGGGGAUAUUCCAAGUUUACAGUCUGGUUUAUUUUUACCACUCUGGUUUGAUUUGGGACCCACCUGUGGAAGCCUGGAAAGGAGAGUGUCGUCUUUUUUACCAGUCCGCCUUGGGCCCCCACCGAGCUCUGCUGCAGGAGGAGGUAGAUCCUGACAAGUCCCAGGACGCUGACAGACUUCUUUUCUCUUGGUUCUGAGCGAGGUCGACUGCAAGCCUCUGAGGCUGAAACGGGCCCUUCAGGAAGGCUGCCUGUGGAUCUUCCGUGUUCCCACCCCCACGUGGAGCGCAUCCUGUGGAAUCUUCUUUGAGAUGCGGUAAAUGAGUGUGUGUGGGAACAGGGGACGGCUGGGAGCAGCCCUUCCUCUACCUUGUAGGCUUAUAACUGUUAUUGUGGAGUCUACCUCACCUGAACAUCUGGCUCAGGGGGCCCCCCCAGCCUGGUGGCUCUGAGCCUCCCUUCUUCUGUAACCCCUUAAAGCCAGACCACCGCCUGGCCUCUCUGAUUGCUGCAUCCUGGGAGCCUUUCCGUCUGCCUGAUGCUCGGAGCAUGUAGUAGGAGCUCAGUUACACUUGGUGAAUGAAACGAGUAGCAUCAGGGACAGAGCUUCUAGUGCUCUGAGCUUGAUUUUGGCCAUGCCUUCAGAUUCUUGGUGCUUUAUUCAUGAGUCAGUGUUUGUUUUAGAAUCCAA
RNAcentral lists this long non-coding RNA (1444 nucleotides) under Canis lupus familiaris (dog). RNAcentral describes it as "lncRNA (ENSCAFG00040019137.1)". The record is from RNAcentral. Lineage: Eukaryota; Metazoa; Chordata; Mammalia; Carnivora; Canidae.